This 432-nucleotide ribosomal RNA is filed under the name Triticum aestivum (bread wheat). RNAcentral describes it as "partial small subunit ribosomal RNA". The record is from RNAcentral. Lineage: Eukaryota; Viridiplantae; Streptophyta; Magnoliopsida; Poales; Poaceae.
AUGGAGUUUCUUAGCCCAAGCUCAUAUGAGCUCAGACAAACAGUAAAAUCAGGAAAAAAUGUGAAACAAUUGAAAAAAUUAUCAAUUUUUUUAGUGACGUACAUUGACAAAAGAUUUUUAAUGAUUGCAAAAUUUCAUCGUGAAAUGACAUUUGUCGAAGCCCUGGCUAAAAAAACAAUUGAUGCUCCAAAAAUAUCAUUUCCAAUAGCAUUUUGGAAUGAUGAUUUUUUUCCACCGCUUCAACCAACAUUAUUUCACGAUGAAAUUUUACAAUCAUUCAAGACUUUUGUCACGAAAAAAAUUCAGGAAUUUUUUUAUUAUUUUCAAUAUUUCUCGAUUUUACUGUUCACCAGAGCUCAUUUGAGCUUGGGACUAGAAGUGUAUUUUUGGUUAAAGUAUUCAUUUGUUCAUAGUUGUUUACAUCCUAACUAA